UUUUUAGUAUAAGUAUUUCCUAUGCAAUAUUCAGGACAUAUAUUUAGUAAAA
Molecule: microRNA precursor, 52 nt
Filed under: Marmota monax (woodchuck)
Lineage: Eukaryota; Metazoa; Chordata; Mammalia; Rodentia; Sciuridae
Source: RNAcentral